AUACGUAGGGGGCGAGCGUUGUCCGGAAUGAUUGGGCGUAAAGGGCGCGUAGGCGGCCCGGUAAGUCUGGAGUGAAAGUCCUGCUUUUAAGGUGGGAAUUGCUUUGGAUACUGUGGUUCUUGAGGGUCGGAGAGGUAACCGGAAUUCCUGGUGUAGCGGUGAAAUGCGUAGAUAUCAGGAGGAACACCGGUGGCGAAGGCGGGUUACUGGACGAUUACUGACGCUGAGACACGAAAGCGUGGGGAGCAAACAGGAUUAGAUACCCUGGUAGUCCACGCUGUAAACGAUGAAUGCUAGGUGUGGGGACGUAAGUUUCCGUGCCGGAGUUAACACAAUAAGCAUUCCGCCUGGGGAGUACGGCCGCAAGGUUGAAACUUAAAGGAAUUGGCGGGG
This 393-nucleotide ribosomal RNA is filed under the name uncultured bacterium. RNAcentral's name for it is "partial 16S ribosomal RNA". It matches the Rfam family "Bacterial small subunit ribosomal RNA", at positions 523 to 918 of the family's 1533-position model. The record is from RNAcentral.